GAUAUUGCGCAAUGGGGGAAACCCUGACGCAGCAACGCCGCGUGGGUGAUGAAGGUCUUCGGAUUGUAAAGCCCUGUUUUCUGGGACGAUAAUGACGGUACCAGAGGAGGAAGCCACGGCUAACUACGUGCCAGCAGCCGCGGUAAUACGUAGGUGGCGAGCGUUGUCCGGAUUUACUGGGCGUAAAGGGUGCGUAGGCGGAUGUUUAAGUGGGAUGUGAAAUCCCCGGGCUUAACCUGGGGGCUGCAUUCCAAACUGGAUAUCUAGAGUGCAGGAGAGGAAAGCGGAAUUCCUAGUGUAGCGGUGAAAUGCGUAGAGAUUAGGAAGAACACCAGUGGCGAAGGCGGCUUUCUGGACUGUAACUGACGCUGAGGCACGAAAGCGUGGGUAGCAAACAGGAUUAGAUACCCUGGUAGUCCACGCCGUAAACGAUGGAUACUAGGUGUAGGGGGUAUCAACUCCCCCUGUGCCGCAGUUAACACAAUAAGUAUCCCGCCUGGGGAGUACGGUCGCAAGAUUAAAACUCAAAGGAAUUGACGGGGGCCCCGCACAAGA
Molecule: ribosomal RNA, 555 nt
Filed under: Clostridium sp.
Lineage: Bacteria; Bacillati; Bacillota; Clostridia; Eubacteriales; Clostridiaceae
Description: bacterial SSU rRNA
Rfam family: Bacterial small subunit ribosomal RNA
Source: RNAcentral